UGGGGAAUAUUGGACAAUGGGCGAAAGCCUGAUCCAGCCAUGCCGCGUGUGUGAAGAAGGUCUUCGGAUUGUAAAGCACUUUAAGUUGGGAGGAAGGGCAGUAAGCGAAUACCUUGCUGUUUUGACGUUACCGACAGAAUAAGCACCGGCUAACUCUGUGCCAGCAGCCGCGGUAAUACAGAGGGUGCAAGCGUUAAUCGGAAUUACUGGGCGUAAAGCGCGCGUAGGUGGUUCGUUAAGUUGAAUGUGAAAGCCCCGGGCUCAACCUGGGAACUGCAUCCAAAACUGGCGAGCUAGAGUGGGGCAGAGGGUGGUGGAAUUUCCUGUGUAGCGGUGAAAUGCGUAGAUAUAGGAAGGAACACCAGUGGCGAAGGCGACCACCUGGGCUCAUACUGACACUGAGGUGCGAAAGCGUGGGGAGCAAACAGG
RNAcentral lists this ribosomal RNA (429 nucleotides) under Pseudomonadota bacterium. RNAcentral's name for it is "Proteobacteria bacterium partial 16S ribosomal RNA". It matches the Rfam family "Bacterial small subunit ribosomal RNA", at positions 355 to 776 of the family's 1533-position model. The record is from RNAcentral. Lineage: Bacteria; Pseudomonadati; Pseudomonadota.